Molecule: non-coding RNA, 4111 nt
Organism: Caretta caretta (loggerhead turtle)
Lineage: Eukaryota; Metazoa; Chordata; Testudines; Cheloniidae
Source: RefSeq, a predicted model, not a curated record
UGGGAUGCAACCAGGUGACUCUUUGCCCAGGAAACGAGACAAAGACAAGGAGGAGGAGCAAUGGGGGUGUCUGACUUUGGGUCGCUGGAAGCUGGCAGUCUGCUUGGGGGGACCCGAAGAGGGGGAGUUCAGGGCAUCUGGCCCAUGACUCCCUAAGGUGGACUUGGCCGAAAGUCACUGAUUUCUGUGCUAAUGAGUUCUGUUCUACACCGUGUUUCUGUCGAAUAAUAAACCUUUUGUUUUACUGGUUGGCUGAGAGUCACGCUGACUGUGGAGCUGGGGGGCAGGGCCCUCUGGCUUCCCCAGAAGCCCCGUCCGGGCAGACUUGCUGCGGGAAGCCCACGGUGUGGAAGGGGAUGCUGAAUGCUUCGAAGUCAGACCCAAGAAGGUCAAAGUUGUGUGAGCUUCUUGCCCUGGUGGCAGUGUGUCAUGGAGUGUGGCGGAGUCAGGGCCCUGCACCCCCACUUCCUGCGAUUCACCGUGACUCUCAGCCAGCCAGUAAAACAGAAAGUUUAUUGGACGACUGGAACACAGUCCCAAGCAGAGAUGGGAGAGGGAGGCAGGGAUGAGGGCAAGAUUAAACACACCGAGAGAGCUCUGUGUAGUGAUGGUUCUUGCUUGGCUUUAUUAGUUUGCAGAGGAAUCGUUGAGAAGCCCUAGUCGGAGGAGAAGCUGGCAGAAGUGGACCUGAGCAUCCUUCUAAGGAGACAUGAAUAGUCCUCAUGUUUCUGCCUUCUGCUUAACUGGCUUCCCAAGGGAAAAGAAGACAAGCGUCGGAGUCUACUGCCCUCAUGCGAUGGAAAGAGAGCGACAAGAUCGUGGGCGUUGUUGAUGCCAUGGAAAAGUCGUCCAACUGGGAGCGGAAGAGCUGCCACCCUCGGUGAGGAGCGGUGUGUCCUCUGCAGCAGAAGGUUCGAUCCAGGAGGAUGACUCCAGGUGGAUACUGGGAGGCAUGUUAGGUGUGCAUCCCCACAGGCUGUGUCUCGGGAGCCAUGAAGAAGUAGGAGUGGAUGAUAAUCAUGCAGGGCAGUGCGUGCGAGAGUGGAGCAGUGACUGUCGGUAUUAACUUGGUCUCUGUUCAUCAAGUGGGGCCAAUGUAGAUGGAAUGGAAGAGGGAGGCAGGAAUGAGGGGAAGAUCUCAGGCACCAAUAGAGCUUUGUGUAGCGAUGGCUUCUGCUGCUGCUCUUGCAGAGGAAUUGCUGAGGAGCCCUAGCCAGAGGAGAAAGUGGCAGAGAUGGACCUGAGCAGCUUGGACAUUGUUCUUAGCAGACGUGAACAGUCCUCCACUUUCUGCCUCCCGCUUAACUGGCUGUGAUACCAAGGGAAAAGAAGUCGCGUGCCAGAGUCUACUGCCCUCAUGCGAUGGAAAGCGAGUGACAGUGAUAAGACCGUGAGUAUUGUUGAUGCCACGCAAAAGCUGUCCAACUGGGAGCAGAACUGCUGCCACUCUGAGAUAAGUGUCUGUUUUGGUGAUUGCUCUGCUCGUGGCCCACCUGGCUCCAGGUAUGGACGCUCCUUUAGCUAAGGCUGGGUUUGUAAGGAAAGGUUCCUGACUAGCUGUUGUUAUGAGGGAGACAAGGUCCCCAUUUUCAGGGGCUGCUCAUUUCUCUGGCCAGGAGCAGUGUGUCCUCCGCAGCAGAAGGUUGCAUCUAGGAGGAUGACUUCAUGUGUUGAGUUGCUUGCCUUCCUCCAAUGUUUUUCUCUUUCUUUCUCUCUACUCUAAUGUGUUGGCCAGCUCUCUGUCUCCUCUCCUCUCCUUGUGCUGUCUCCCUUCUUAGGACGCAGGCAGGGGUACUAGGUUUGCAUCCCGACAGGUGAGGUCUCGGGAGCCCUGGAGAAGUUGGAGCAGAUGAAAAUCAUGCGUGGCAGUCGGUGUUGACUCGGUCAUCGAGUGGGGCCAGUGUAGAUGGGUUUGGAGAGGGAGGCAGGGAUGAGGGCAAGAUUUCAAGCACCGGUAGAGCUUUGUGUACUGAUGGCUCAUGCUUGGCUUUUGCAGCUGCUCUUGCAGAGGAAUUGUCCAGGAGCCCAGCCAGAGGAGAAGGUGCAGAGGUGUAGCUGAGCAGCUUGGGCAUCCUUCUAAGGAGACAUGAACAGUCCUCCCCUUUCUGCCUCCCGCAUAACUGGCUGUAUGUAAGCAGUCAGUGAUUGGAAUUCCUCCUCUGUAGUUGUUUUUUGUCACAGGCAGUGUGCUUGCUUAUUGAAUAUGGGGCUCUUUGGUAUUUAAGGCUGGGGAAGGUAUCACACUUACAGUUGCCAUCUUUCACGGGGUAAAUAAGCACCCCGACUUUCACAAUAAACCAAAAAUCAAGCUAAUCCCAUUUCAAAACAAGGAAUCUGUAAGAACCCAAACACUCUGUGACUAGAUCCCCCCGGUGUGCAGUCUGGGAGUGUGGUGGGCCCACUGUGCACCCCUGAUUCUCUCCCCCACUUUGCCUCUCCUUGCCCUGUGCCCUUGCUUGCCAGGAGCCAAUUUAAAAAAAAGAAGUAACAAACUGCAAGGUAAACAAGCAACAAGCCAGCAUCCAAAAACUCGCCAAGAAGCAACUCUCAAGCCAAUUAAGUGAAAAACAAGCCCAAUUUCUGCAUUUUCCCCACAGGUUUGGUAUUUUUUACCAGAGUCUGCUGUGCAGAGUGACUAUUUUGGGUGUCAUUGCUGGGGUGCUUCUACUUGUAGUCCUGAAGGUGUAAUGGGAAGGGGGUUGAGGGCAGAGCCCUGGGGUGUGUUAGAUGCAAGAAGAAGAGCUUAUGCCACAUUGCCAUCUGAGAGGCUAACUUCUUUGUUUUUCUCCCUUGUGCUGGGUUUGGUACCAAGGGGAAAGAAGCCAAAUGACAGAGUUUACUCCACUCGUAUGAUGGAAAGCAAGCGAGAGCAGGGAGACUGUGAGCCUUGUUGAAAUGAGGCUGGAGCCGUACAUUUGGGAGUGGAGCAGCCACCAGUGUCAGUGAGAUAAGUGAUAUAUUUUAUGCGAGAUAGUCUUUUAAGGUAUCAUUGGAAAGGUUAUAAUUUACUGCAUGUGAUUAUCCAAUUUGGAUGCAUGUAUCAUUUCUGUAUCUAAAGUUGGAAAUAUUGACUAUGUAACAAUUACAACCGGGUGUAUACUUGGGAAACACCCACCAGACAACACGCCAUCAGCCUUGAUGGGCCAUUAGGAAGAAACAAUAAGACUGUGAAAGACACUAAUCUCUCUCCUUCCUGAGACGCAUCCUGGGAUGUAGCUGUGAUGCUACUAGGUCAGGUGGUCCUGUCACCUGGUACUAAAUGCUAUGUUGGACUUCUAGUAAUUUUCCACUAAAAGGAGGGGGAGGUCAAGACUGGGAAACAAAAGAUUCCCGCCUUAUGUAAAUCUUACUUAAGGCUGGGGAGUAAUGCAAACAGGUCUCUUCUCCGUUGCCUUCUUGUCAAAGCAGAAAGACUGCUAAAAGUACCUGAAGGGACAAAGGAACCGAGCAGGGGGAAAGUCCAGGGCUGAGUCCAGACUAAGACAGCAGUCUGCUCUGUAAAGAGAAAUAACUGGAAAUCUCAGCUACAGAAACCCUGCAACUUGCCUAAAAACAACGUUUAGGGUGAGAAAUCACUUCCUGAGUCCAGUCUCUUUAAGAUCUUAGGCUUAGUAUUGCAUGUUUGUUUUAUUUGCUUAGUAAUCUGCCUUUUUCUGUUUGCUAUCCCUUACAAUCACUUUAAAUCUUCUUCCCUUAUAGUUAAUAAUAAACAAAAACAAGUUCAUUAAACCCAGUUUGUGCAAUUUCUAACGGGGGUGGGGCAAAAGUUGUGCAUAUCUUCCUCCACAUUGAGGGAGGGGGUGAAUUUAUGAGCUUAUGUUGUAUAGAUUUCUCUACGGCCCAAGACAAUAUUAUUUUGGGUGUACUUUCCAGAGGGGAACUGCACUUGAGUGCUGGGAGAUAUCAUAGCUGAGUCUUCUCGUAGAGAGCUGUUGACAGACUCUGUGCGAUUCUACAGCUGGUGCGUCCCUACGUGUGUGUGUGUGUGUGUGUGCUGCCAGAGGCUGGAGAGCCUAAGUCAGCAAAACAAGGAGAGGGAGGCCAGGCUAGUGCAGCAGCAGGCUCAGAGAAAUCCCAGUACAUCAGGUGGCAUCCCAGAAUGGGGGUCAAA